UAAAACAUAAAAUUGAAAAAGAAAAGAAUGAGGAAGAUAGGAAAGAAUAAUAUAAUUCGUCUUCUAGAUAAAAAUGAAAUAAUUAAAAAUUCCCAAUAUGUAAAAACAACAAUAAAAUUCCAAACAUGAAAAUAAAAUCUAAAAUCAAUGUUAGUAAAUCGGUAAUAUUCAUAUAAAUUAGCCAUUACGACGACUGCUAGCAAGAGGAGCAAACAAGUAGAAGUGCUGGUAAAUGUGAUCCAGGUUCUCUG
Molecule: long non-coding RNA, 251 nt
Filed under: Lathyrus oleraceus (garden pea)
Lineage: Eukaryota; Viridiplantae; Streptophyta; Magnoliopsida; Fabales; Fabaceae
Description: Pisum sativum (pea) long non-coding RNA (PSAT_LNC009976)
Source: RNAcentral